This 619-nucleotide long non-coding RNA is filed under the name Numida meleagris (helmeted guineafowl). Its description in RNAcentral is "lncRNA (ENSNMEG00000022971.1)". Lineage: Eukaryota; Metazoa; Chordata; Aves; Galliformes; Numididae. The record is from RNAcentral.
AAAAACUGCAGAGAUGUUAUUAACCCAAAUUUCAAAGUCAUUUCGAGUCAAAAAUCUGUACUUUUCUUCUUAGGGUUAGCUUAAAACCUGAUGCGUUGGGUAAUUCUUCAUGAUGAUGAGCUGCUAGAAUUAGGACCUAUACAAGAGUGUUCUUCCUACUUAUGUGAAAUCACUUCAAAUUAUUUCAGAUGUUUGAUGUGCCUUUGACUUCUGAUAUCAUAAAAAGGAAAUGACCUGCUGUGAUACAGCACACAACAGCAAAUCUCCGUUCUUGGUAUGGGAGGUUCACUUCUGUUGUGAAAGGCAGCUCUAGUCAGUGUUGGAAUGAAAGCCAAAGCCUUCAGAAGCUGAGAGGUGCUGGAAAGGGACUGCACUGUUGUUUUCUCCACCCUCCCCCCCCCGCCCCCAAGAAAAACAGAGGAGGAUAUAAAACAAAAAGAGAGAUCUGCAUCCAGACAUCAUCGCACACUGCUACCUGUGGAAGAACUGCUGUUCUGAAUUGUUCUCAUUGACCUCUUUUGAGUCAGAAGGGACCCUUAGGGGUCAUCUGGUCCAACUCCCCUGCAAUGAACAAGGGCACGUACAGCUCAGUCAGGGUGCUCAGAGUCCCAUCCAGUCU